This 253-nucleotide ribosomal RNA is filed under the name uncultured bacterium. Its description in RNAcentral is "partial 16S ribosomal RNA". It matches the Rfam family "Bacterial small subunit ribosomal RNA", at positions 524 to 776 of the family's 1533-position model. The record is from RNAcentral.
UACGUAGGGUGCAAGCGUUGUCCGGAAUUAUUGGGCGUAAAGAGCUCGUAGGCGGUUUGUUGCGUCGGCUGUGAAAUCCCGAGGCUCAACCUCGGGUCUGCAGUCGAUACGAGCAAACUAGAGUGUUGCAGGGGAGACUGGAAUUCCUGGUGUAGCGGUGAAAUGCGCAGAUAUCAGGAGGAACACCCGUGGCGAAGGCGGCUCUCUGGGACGGUACUGACGCUGAGACGCGAAAGCGUGGGGAGCGAACAGG